CGCGAAGGUGGAGCAGCCUGGUAGCUCGUCGGGCUCAUAACCCGAAGGUCGUCGGUUCAAAUCCGGCCCCCGCAACCA
Molecule: transfer RNA, 78 nt
Filed under: Escherichia coli DEC13D
Lineage: Bacteria; Pseudomonadati; Pseudomonadota; Gammaproteobacteria; Enterobacterales; Enterobacteriaceae
Description: tRNA-Met
Rfam family: tRNA
About the family: Transfer RNA (tRNA) molecules are approximately 80 nucleotides in length.
Source: RNAcentral